This is a non-coding RNA of Bos taurus (domestic cattle), 72 nucleotides long. Lineage: Eukaryota; Metazoa; Chordata; Mammalia; Artiodactyla; Bovidae. The record is from Rfam.
UCCCUGAUGGCUCAGAUGGUAGAGAAUCUGCCUGCAAUGCGGGAGACCUGGAUUUGAUCCCUGGUUUGGGAA